UAGAAUGUAGGGCCAACCCUUGGUGGCUUUU
This 31-nucleotide non-coding RNA is filed under the name Rattus norvegicus (Norway rat). Lineage: Eukaryota; Metazoa; Chordata; Mammalia; Rodentia; Muridae. The record is from RNAcentral.